Silurus meridionalis is the source of this 327-nucleotide long non-coding RNA. RefSeq lists it as uncharacterized. NCBI's taxonomy places the organism in Eukaryota, Metazoa, Chordata, Actinopteri, Siluriformes, Siluridae. The record is from RefSeq and is a predicted model, not a curated record. The transcript is spliced from 3 exons.
GAGAAACACGUCAUUUCUGAGUUUUGUGUAAACGAGUCAUUAGCAGAGACGUUUCUGUCUAUGAUUUUGGAGAAGAUCAAGGUGGAGAGAGGGUUUAUGGGACAUGAUCUCCUGCAGUCUCUCUGUAGGGUUUAUGUAGGCGUGUGUCAACAGAGAGGAGACUCUCACAAAGCACAUGCUCUCGCCUACAGACUCCUUAAAGAAGAGUUUCUUGAAGCCCCCAAAGUGAUUAUGGUCAUGAUCACAGCAUGGCCAAGUAUUUUGUCCCAUGAAAGUGUUUUAUGCCGAUCAAUUCACGUAGUGAGCAACCUGAAAGCAAAGGAAAGA